This 492-nucleotide ribosomal RNA is filed under the name uncultured bacterium. Its description in RNAcentral is "partial 16S ribosomal RNA". It matches the Rfam family "Bacterial small subunit ribosomal RNA", at positions 29 to 507 of the family's 1533-position model. The record is from RNAcentral.
AGUGAACGCUGGCGGUAGGCCUAACACAUGCAAGUCGAACGGCAGCACAGUAAGAGCUUGCUCUUACGGGUGGCGAGUGGCGGACGGGUGAGAAAUACAUCGGAAUCUACUUUUUCGUGGGGGAUAACGUAGGGAAACUUACGAUAAUACCGCAUACGACGUACGGGUGAAAGCAGGGGGUCUUCGGACCUUGCGCGAUUGCAUGAGCCGAUGUCGGAUUAGCUAGUUGGCGGGGUAAAGGCCCACCAAGGCGACGAUCCGUAGCUGGUCUGAGAGGAUGAUCAGCCACACUGGAACUGAGACACGGUCCAGACUCCUACGGGAGGCAGCAGUGGGGAAUAUUGGACAAUGGGCGCAAGCCUGAUCCAGCCAUACCGCGUGGGUGAAGAAGGCCUUCGGGUUGUAAAGCCCUUUUGUUGGGAAAGAAAAGCAGCAGGUUAAUACCCCGCUGUUCUGACGGUACCCAAAGAAUAAGCACCGGCUAACUUCGUG